This 76-nucleotide transfer RNA is filed under the name Candidatus Omnitrophica bacterium ADurb.Bin292. RNAcentral describes it as "tRNA-Arg". It matches the Rfam family "tRNA". From Rfam's summary of the family: Transfer RNA (tRNA) molecules are approximately 80 nucleotides in length. Their secondary structure includes four short double-helical elements and three loops (D, anti-codon, and T loops). Lineage: Bacteria; Pseudomonadati; Candidatus Omnitrophota. The record is from RNAcentral.
UGCGCCCGUAGCUCAAUUGGAUAGAGCACGACACUACGGAUGUCGGGGUUGCAGGUUCAACUCCUGCCGGGCGCGA